Vespa mandarinia (Asian giant hornet) is the source of this 545-nucleotide long non-coding RNA. NCBI's taxonomy places the organism in Eukaryota, Metazoa, Arthropoda, Insecta, Hymenoptera, Vespidae. The record is from RefSeq and is a predicted model, not a curated record.
UAAUUGUACAAACUUUUUAUAUUAUUUUUGUUUCUUUUUUAGUUACUUAUAUAAAUAUCCAAAAGUGUAUUUAAACGUAUAUUACCACGAUAUAUAUAUUAUUUGCGAUCAAAUAAAUAAAUAAAUAAAUAAGAGAUAAAAAAUAAUAUAUAAAAGAUAAUAGAAAUAUUAUAAAAGUGGAAAGAAAAUUACUGAUGCAUGUCUUGAAUUCUGAAAUUUAUUAGAAUAAUGGCGUUACAAUAGACGCGUUAAUACAAUAGAUAAUAUAGUGUUUAACCUAUAAAAAAAAAAAAAAAAUAAAUAUGCAUAAAUGCUGUUUUCGACAAAAAAGUUUUGUAUUGUGGCUCUCCUAGAAAUUGGCGACAAAAAAGAAGAAAUUCGUACCUUCACUACUGAUUUCCAUAUUAUGCUAAAAUUGGAUAUGUUUGUCGCGUGAAGUAGCGAUAAUUUGCUUGUUUGUUACGUAAAUAGGUAAUGCCUAGAUUUCAUAAGAACAUAUUUAAUUUUGUAUUUUCUUGAUGAAAGGUCAAAUUAAAAUACCAAUU